RNAcentral lists this transfer RNA (71 nucleotides) under Aeromicrobium panaciterrae. RNAcentral's name for it is "tRNA-Gly". It matches the Rfam family "tRNA". From Rfam's summary of the family: Transfer RNA (tRNA) molecules are approximately 80 nucleotides in length. Their secondary structure includes four short double-helical elements and three loops (D, anti-codon, and T loops). Further hydrogen bonds mediate the characteristic L-shaped molecular structure. tRNAs have two regions of fundamental functional importance: the anti-codon, which is responsible for specific mRNA codon recognition, and the 3' end, to which the tRNAs corresponding amino acid is attached (by aminoacyl-tRNA synthetases). tRNAs cope with the degeneracy of the genetic code in two manners: having more than one tRNA (with a specific anti-codon) for a particular amino acid; and 'wobble' base-pairing, i.e. permitting non-standard base-pairing at the 3rd anti-codon position. Lineage: Bacteria; Bacillati; Actinomycetota; Actinomycetes; Propionibacteriales; Nocardioidaceae. The record is from RNAcentral.
GCGGAUGAAGUGUUGUGGCGGCACGCGGGCGUUCCAUGUCCGAGGAGCGAGUUCGAUUCUCGUCAUCCGUU